GUUGGGAGUGGGGGUGUAUUCCUGUAAUCUAACAAUUCGGAGGCAGGUAUAGAGGAUGUUUUAGGGGCGGGGAUUCUGGGAUUGAAUUAGAGAUUAGUCGUCCUCUAGGGAUAAAUUUUCCACUUGGAUGUAUUGGAGGAGCUCGAGGUAGGCAAGUUGCGUCCAAAAAGGGAAAAAAUCGGUCCAAAAGUCACCGACUUGAGAGUUUAAAUCCUGGGAGUGGGAGUUCAUUUGCACCUCGUUCAAACAAGAACAGACCUAUACCUAC
This 268-nucleotide non-coding RNA is filed under the name Pediculus humanus corporis (human body louse). Lineage: Eukaryota; Metazoa; Arthropoda; Insecta; Psocodea; Pediculidae. The record is from RNAcentral.